Molecule: unclassified non-coding RNA, 159 nt
Filed under: uncultured fungus
Lineage: Eukaryota; Fungi
Description: partial contains 5.8S ribosomal RNA, internal transcribed spacer 2, and large subunit ribosomal RNA
Source: RNAcentral
AACGCACAUUGCGCCCGUUAGUAUUCUAGCGGGCAUGCCUGUUCGAGCGUCAUUUCAACCCUCAAGCUUUGCUUGGUGUUGGGGUACUAUAAUUUUUUAUAGGCCCUGUAACCCACCAAGGUUGACCUCGGAUCAGGUAGGAAUACCCGCUGAACUUAA